Molecule: microRNA, 23 nt
Filed under: Bos taurus (domestic cattle)
Lineage: Eukaryota; Metazoa; Chordata; Mammalia; Artiodactyla; Bovidae
Description: bta-miR-2285di
Source: miRBase by way of RNAcentral
AAACCCUGAAGGAACAUUUUGGU